Molecule: ribosomal RNA, 253 nt
Filed under: uncultured bacterium
Lineage: Bacteria
Description: partial 16S ribosomal RNA
Rfam family: Bacterial small subunit ribosomal RNA
Source: RNAcentral
GACAGAGGGUGCAAACGUUGUUCGGAAUUACUGGGCGUAAAGCGCGCGUAGGCGGCUUUGUAAGUUAGAGGUGAAAGCCCGGGGCUCAACCCCGGAAUUGCCCUUAAGACUGCAUCGCUUGAAUCCGGGAGAGGUGAGUGGAAUUCCGAGUGUAGAGGUGAAAUUCGUAGAUAUUCGGAAGAACACCAGUGGCGAAGGCGGCUCACUGGACCGGCAUUGACGCUGAGGCACGAAAGCGUGGGGAGCAAACAGG